GGGGCCGUUGUCUAGCAUGGUAUGAUACUCGGCUCGGGCCCGAGAGGCUCCGAAGCUAGACAGGAGCUCAAGGUCGUGGGUUCAAAAGCGGCGGAACCGCUGAAAUUCCCACCGGCCCCA
Molecule: transfer RNA, 120 nt
Filed under: Anaerolineae bacterium
Lineage: Bacteria; Bacillati; Chloroflexota; Anaerolineae
Description: tRNA-Pro
Source: RNAcentral